This 459-nucleotide ribosomal RNA is filed under the name uncultured bacterium. Its description in RNAcentral is "partial 16S ribosomal RNA". It matches the Rfam family "Bacterial small subunit ribosomal RNA", at positions 338 to 795 of the family's 1533-position model. The record is from RNAcentral.
CCUACGGGAGGCAGCAGUGAGGAAUAUUGGUCAAUGGGAGAGAUCCUGAACCAGCCAAGCCGCGUGAGGGAAGACGGCCCUAUGGGUUGUAAACCUCUUUUGUCGGAGAACAAAACCCGGGACGAGUCCCGGACUGCGUGUAUCCGAAGAAAAAGCAUCGGCUAACUCCGUGCCAGCAGCCGCGGUAAUACGGAGGAUGCGAGCGUUAUCCGGAUUUAUUGGGUUUAAAGGGUGCGUAGGCGGUCUGUUAAGUCAGCGGUAAAAUGGCGGGGCUCAACCCCGUCGAGCCGUUGAAACUGGCAGACUUGAGUUGGCGAGAAGUACGCGGAAUGCGCGGUGUAGCGGUGAAAUGCAUAGAUAUCGCGCAGAACUCCGAUUGCGAAGGCAGCGUACCGGCGCCAGACUGACGCUGAGGCACGAAAGCGUGGGGAUCGAACAGGAUUAGAUACCCUAGUAGUC